AACCCUAAAAACCAAAAAGAUUCCCUGCAUAUUUUCAUUCUAAAGUUUACUAAAAAGCAUACUAGUUCUCUUUUAAAAAGGAUUCUAUUUUCAUUAGGUUUUCUGGGCUCUAAGUCUGAAAUAGAGUUGGUCAUUGGAGAUGUGGUUUGUUUUGCUAAUUUGGUGUUGUGCUUCCUACGGAUUCUUCAUCUUGUUUUGACACUCAGAUUUUCCUUUUUCUUGUUGCUGUAACCAGGUAUUACACCCUACCAUGAAAUGCAAAACUGAAACAUAUUGGCUGGAUGAUUGAAAUAAUAGAUCUAUAUAUUUUUUUAUUUAGAACACCAUCUUGUUUUUCUUUUUGUUCUCUUCUUCUUCUUCUUCUGUUUAAAAUUCUCAUGUCAUUAUGUAAAGUGAAAGCUAUUUUUGUUCACCUCUUAAGUUGAGAGUCAGCAAUGGAGUCCUCAUGUGUACCUAAAGACUGGACUGUUAUUUAGCUUGUAUAUAUGGGACUGUUUUAGAUUUUAAAUGAACAUUGUCAAUACUAUAGCUGGAUUUAUUCUUCACUAGCAUGACUGUAAUGUACACAACACUGGGAAGUUUCAAAAGUUCUGAUUUAGAAUAGAAAUCUCAAUUGAAAAAUCCCUUUACACAUUCUAAAAAUAAGAGUUAGUUUCUUUAUAAGAAAAGGAUACAAACAUCUGUCCUUCAAUCUCCACCGAUUCAAUUUUUGUUUUAAAAUAAAGCUGUUAUUCCACGUUUUCAAAAGUGAUGGGAUUCCAAUUUUUCUUUAGCAUUUGAUGCAUUGUUAAUUAGUUAUGGUCAUUGUAUUGUGCAUUUCUUUGUAAAACUCAUGCAUUUUAGUUUAAGGAUUUUGAUGAUUGCAGUAUUUGAUUGGGAACAUUUAAUAAAAAACCGUACCAUUAAAAAGAAAACUAGACCUGCCGAUGGCCCAGGACAUUUUGGCCAAAUUUGGACCCCUGCUACUCGACUUCCUCUGACCAUGCAUUUGGACCCGAUUUAGGGGGCCUAUUUGACAACAUCUCCACUUUCCUUUUAUUUCGCUUGCUUAAUGCUAUACCGGGCUGCCUUGUGUCCCAGUUUUUUCUCAUCCAAUUAGCACAAACUUGUCUUGACAUUAAGCCCAAGUUCUCGUAACUAAAAACCCAUUUUUGGCCUUAAUUAUUUAAGCCUUCUAAGGUUGAGGUGUGCCAUCUUUCCCUAGAUAACCCAUGGCCCUCAUACAAAUUAUUAACUUAGUAUUAAAAUAAGCUAGAACAAUCGUAAAGUGCUUUAAGCGCGCAAUUAAAUUAUUACAACUAUGGGUAUGGCUCCCGUGACGUGGUUAUGAUAAUUAGUGUACCUUUUAGAUUCCCUUUAAAAUAUAUACCUUUUUUUUAA
RNAcentral lists this long non-coding RNA (1380 nucleotides) under Nicotiana tabacum (common tobacco). RNAcentral's name for it is "long non-coding RNA (NTAB_LNC002448)". The record is from RNAcentral. Lineage: Eukaryota; Viridiplantae; Streptophyta; Magnoliopsida; Solanales; Solanaceae.